UACGGGGGGAGCAAGCGUUGUUCGGAUUUACUGGGCGUAAAGGGCGCGUAGGCGGCCACCGCAAGUCAAUUGUGAAAUCUCCGGGCUUAACUCGGAAAGGUCAACUGAUACUGCGGGGCUAGAGUGCAGAAGGGGCAACUGGAAUUCUCGGUGUAGCGGUGAAAUGCGUAGAUAUCGAGAGGAACACCUGCGGCGAAGGCGGGUUGCUGGGCUGACACUGACGCUGAGGCGCGAAAGCGAGGGGAGCGAACGGG
RNAcentral lists this ribosomal RNA (254 nucleotides) under uncultured bacterium. RNAcentral's name for it is "partial 16S ribosomal RNA". It matches the Rfam family "Bacterial small subunit ribosomal RNA", at positions 524 to 776 of the family's 1533-position model. The record is from RNAcentral.